Molecule: long non-coding RNA, 285 nt
Organism: Homarus americanus (American lobster)
Lineage: Eukaryota; Metazoa; Arthropoda; Malacostraca; Decapoda; Nephropidae
Exons: 3
Source: RefSeq, a predicted model, not a curated record
CUCUGACAGGUUGAGAAGUGUAAGGGAAGGUGUGGGUGGAAGUCUGCCCUGCUGUCCCAAUCAUGUAUCUGCAUCUCUCCAGGGACAUCCUUGUCCUGGUGCUAUUCCUAGGGGUCCACUUGUUGGUUGAAGGUGUGCCAACAAGAGUAAAGUCUCCUGGCAGUCUGGGAUCACAGGAGGAGUUACGCAAUGUGGAUGAAGAGGCACAAGAUGCUGGGGUGCUUCAACGACUGUGGUCAGGCAUCAGCACUGGGCUUGGUUCAUUAGCUGGCUAUGGCAUGCAAA